This 497-nucleotide ribosomal RNA is filed under the name uncultured bacterium. Its description in RNAcentral is "partial 16S ribosomal RNA". It matches the Rfam family "Bacterial small subunit ribosomal RNA", at positions 28 to 507 of the family's 1533-position model. The record is from RNAcentral.
GAUGAACGCUGGCGGCGUGCCUAAUACAUGCAAGUCGAGCGAACAGACGAGGAGCUUGCUCCUCUGACGUUAGCGGCGGACGGGUGAGUAACACGUGGAUAACCUACCUAUAAGACUGGGAUAACUUCGGGAAACCGGAGCUAAUACCGGAUAAUAUAUUGAACCGCAUGGUUCAAUAGUGAAAGACGGUUUUGCUGUCACUUAUAGAUGGAUCCGCGCCGCAUUAGCUAGUUGGUAAGGUAACGGCUUACCAAGGCAACGAUGCGUAGCCGACCUGAGAGGGUGAUCGGCCACACUGGAACUGAGACACGGUCCAGACUCCUACGGGAGGCAGCAGUAGGGAAUCUUGCGCAAUGGGCGAAAGCCUGACGCAGCCACGCCGCGUGCGUGAUGAAGGUCUUCGGAUCGUAAAACUCUGUUAUUAGGGAAGAAAAAAUGUGUAAGUAACUAUGCACGUCUUGACGGUACCUAAUCAGAAAGCCACGGCUAACUACGUG